UUUGAGAAUAAGGGUUCGACUCCGGAGAGGGAGCCUGAGAAAUGGCUACCACAUCCAAGGAUGGCAGCAGGCGCGCAAAUUACCCACUCUCAGUACGAGGAGGUAGUGACGAAAGAUAACAAUGCGGGACUCAUCAGAGGCCUCGCAAUUGGAAUGAGCGCACUUUAAAUCGUUCGACGAGGAUCUAUUGGAGGGCAAGUCUGGUGCCAGCAGCCGCGGUAAUUCCAGCUCCAAUAGCGUAUAUUAAAGUUGUUGCAGUUAAAAAGCUCGUAGUUGGAUCUGGGGUUCGGGUCGGCGGUUUGCCGCUUCGGCGGCUACUGCCGUGCUCGACUCUUACUAGCCGGUGCGUCUUGCGGUGCUCUUCAUCGAGUGCCGUAGGAGCCUGGCAUGUUUACUUUGAAAAAAAUUAGAGUGCUCAAAGCAGGCGAUUCCGCCUGAAUAGUGUUGCAUGGAAUAAUGGAAUAGGACCUCGGUUCUAUUUUGUUGGUUUUCGGAACUUGAGGUAAUGAUUAAGAGGGACGGUCGGGGGCAUUCGUAUUUCGGUGUUAGAGGUGAAAUUCUUGGAUCGCUGAAAGACGGACAAAUGCGAAAGCAUCUGCCAAGAACGUCUCCAUUAAUCAAGAACGAAAGUCAGAGGUUCGAAGACGAUCAGACACCGUCCUAGUUCUGACCAUAAACGAUGCCAACUAGCAUCCGCAGUGGUUGCUAUAAACGGACUCUGCGAGCAGCUUCCGGGAAACCAAAGUGUUUGGGUUCCGGGGGAUGUAUGGUUGCAAAGCUGAAACUUAAAGGAAUUGACGGAAGGGCACCACCAGGAGUGGAGCCUGCGGCUUAAUUUGACCCAACACGGGGAAACUCACCCGGUCCGGACACUGUAAGGAUUGACAGAUCGAGAGCUCUUUCUUGAUUCGGUGGAUGGUGGUGCAUGGCCGUUCUUAGUUGGUGGAGUGAUUUGUCUGGUUAAUUCCGAUAACGAACGAGACUCUAGCCUGCUAACUGGUUGCGCCGUGUUCAUACGCGGCUGUAGACUUCUUAGAGGGACAGGUGGCGUUUAGCCACACGAAAUUGAGCAAUAACAGGUCUGUGAUGCCCUUAGAUGUCCGGGGCCGCACGCGCGCUACACUGAAGGAGUCAGCGUGUGCUAUCCGGGCUCGGAAGAGUUCGGUAACCCGUUGAAACUCCUUCGUGCUUGGGAUUGUGGCUUGUAAUUAUCGCGCAUGAACGAGGAAUUCCCAGUAAGUGCAAGUCAUCAGCUUGCGCUGACUACGUCCCUGCCCUUUGUACACACCGCCCGUCGCUACUACCGAUUGAAUGGUUUAGCAAGGUACUCGGAUUGGUCUCGAUCUUGUACGAAAGUGCGGGAUCUGUGGCCGAGAAGAAGGCCAAAACUUGAUCAUUUAGAGGAAGUAAAAGUCGUAACAAGGUU
RNAcentral lists this ribosomal RNA (1426 nucleotides) under metagenome. RNAcentral's name for it is "SSU rRNA". It matches the Rfam family "Eukaryotic small subunit ribosomal RNA", at positions 360 to 1801 of the family's 1831-position model. The record is from RNAcentral.